RNAcentral lists this long non-coding RNA (2468 nucleotides) under Homo sapiens (human). RNAcentral's name for it is "non-protein coding lnc-LOXHD1-1:3". The record is from RNAcentral. Lineage: Eukaryota; Metazoa; Chordata; Mammalia; Primates; Hominidae.
AAGCGUUCCAACAAUGUUCAAUACACUGUCUAAGAAGGCAGGGCUGCGUUUUAUCCACUUUAGAAUUAUUUCCAUCCCCAAACAGUUAAAAUACUUUCACAAAAGUCUUGGUGCUUAAAAGAUAAAUGCUCAGUGACCUGGAAGUUCACAUAAAUGAAACGGUUGAUGAUCUGAUGAUGAAGGAUAGGCGAGAUGGGUAAACUCACUCUUUUUUUUUUUUUGAGAUGGAGUCUCACUCUGUCACCCAGGCUGGAGUGCAGUGGCAUGAUCUCGGCUCACGGCAACCUCCGCCUCCCAGGUUCAAGUGAUUCUCCUGCCUCAGCCUCCCAAGUAGCUGGGAUUACAGGCGCCCACCACUUUGCCCAGCUAAUUUUUGGUAUUUUUAGUAGAGACGGGGCCACCAUUUUGGCCAGGCUGGUUGUGAACUCCUGACCUCGUGAUUCGCCCACCUCCUCCUCCCAAAGUGCUGGGAUUAUAGGUGUGGGCCACCGUGCCCGGCCAAACUCACUCUUUUGAACUUAACAUUUUCCCCCUGACAUUGGAGACUCUCCUGCUACCUCUCUCCUAAGAAAAAAGGGCAGGUGGUGGGGGGACAAGCCCCUUCCACCUUCCCAUCUCCAAGGGACUUUGCAGUGUGGGUGAUGGUGUGGCUGAUCAUCCUCUUUCUGCACCUCUGAUUCUGCUUGUGUUGUCCUUAUUGUGUGGGGCAGGAGGGUCAGGACUUCAGCUAGGGGUGUGCUGGCUCUGCAGUGACUCAGGCCUGGGUGUUUUUUGGUGAAUUUAAAAAGAUGACCAUUUCUGGGGGAAAGUGACACUUUUACUUUCUCCACACCUUCACCAUCCAUUUUCUUACUGGACUUCGCUGCGUUCCUGCAAGGAGGACAGGGCAGAGAGUAGCAACCCUCCUUGCCGAGGCCCAGAAAGAUAGCGUGGUGUGCCCAGGGCACCCAUGGUGGGUGAUGGACAUCUCCUUUUGGGUGCCAAGGCUUCCUCAAGGUGGGAGGAACUGGAGGGCAGGGGACGGUGGCCAGUGUCCCGCUCUAGCCCUCUAGGGCACCUUUUUCUCCCCUCUGAAGUUGUUAGGCUGAUCUGGAGUCUGCUCCAGGCCUGGGCUUCACCCUGGCCUCAUGCCCUGCCCAGCACCUGUGUGGAGGGACCUGUUCGUAUUCAUUCCUCUUUGGGGGCCAAGCUCAGGGCACCCGAACCAGCAGCCUUGGGUGGCUGAACCUAGUGGGACAGAAGGGAGGCAGUUGUAUCUGGCAGAGUCACCCAAGGCCACAGGCCUGAGCAAAGCAGGAGAGCGGGGCAAGCUGGGGUCAGGGACCAUGGUGCUGGCCCCCUGCUGCUCUGGCCAUGUGGGAGGCAGCUGGAGGGGUCCCAAGUGGCAGCUCCUGCCAGACUACCCCGGACUCCCGAGCCCAUCGUCCUGUACUCUUCUCCAGUGGGACGUCUGGCCCUCACUGUGGCUAGCUUCUGGGCAAGUCCCUCUGCUCAAGAUCACUUUAUGGGGCAGCUGGUGCCCCCUGGGGCUCCCACACUCUGCACAUACAAUUUAGGGACCUGGCAGGGUCUUGGUGGCCUGCAGCUUCCCUUUCUGGAACCGACUCGCCUCCCAUCAGAGAGCCAUAACUCUUCUUCAAUACAGUAUUGUUUGAACUUUGAAAUAUAUGCAUUUGUCUAUGUAUUUUCUUAAAAAUUAACACUGUAUCUCAAUAAGCAUACAAUGGAUUGUUCAAUGGUACAGUUUGGAACCAAUCCCCCGCCACUUCCCUCCCCAAGUAAAGCCAGGACAGAUGCUGGAGUCAGCAUGGGAGCUGUGGAAACCUUUUGCCCUGGAGCCAGGUGCCUGUGGCUGUGCCUGGGAGUGGCUUCAGCCCAGGCGUGGUGUCAGUUUCCUGGCACCCCUGCCCAGGAGCCUGCAUGAAGGCAGCCGGGUCUCUCUCUGAGUGGCUGGUGCACCGGCUCAUUUCUGAGUGGCCUCCUGCGUAUGAAGAAAAAGCGGCCACGUGGCAUGCCUCCCUUCCCUCCCUUGCUUUCCUCUCAAAGAGCCAAGUCACGCUGCACUGCGCUCCGUGGAGCCUUUCCCGAUGGAGAAGAGAAGGGAGGCCUGAGAUGUCCUUUGCUGGGAUGUGGAGAAACACCAUCUAUAUGAAAAGCCCCUUGCUUGCUCUGCUGAUUUUCUCCCUCCCCUGGCCCUGGAGAGAAAGGCUGUGCCAUUCAAAGACAGUUUGGGGACAUGGGGGCUGCAGGCCUGAUCUUAUUUUUAUGCAAAUUUUGUUCUGGGAGCAGUGGUUUAUACAAACUCCUGUAGCAUAAUUCCAGCUUGUGUGUGGCUGUCCUUGAGUAGUGAUUCUGAAGUGAUGACUGUGAUGCUAUGCCUAAAAACAUCAUCAGGGUACUUUGUAUCUGUCACUGUGUUUGAACGGCCCUCAAUUUCUAUCUAAUAAAACCAGUCAAAUGGUUCACCU